GUGUGUUCCAGGUAAAUCCGGUUCACUUUAACACUGAGGCGUGACGACGAGGCACUACGGUGCUGAAGCAACAAAUGCCCUGCUUCCAGGAAAAGCCUCUAAGCAUCAGGUAACAUCAAAUCGUACCCCAAACCGACACAGGUGGUCAGGUAGAGAAUACCAAGGCGCUUGAGAGAACUCGGGUGAAGGAACUAGGCAAAAUGGUGCCGUAACUUCGGGAGAAGGCACGCUGACACGUAGGUGAAGUGAUUUACUCAUGGAGCUGAAGUCAGUCGAAGAUACCAGCUGGCUGCAACUGUUUAUUAAAAACACAGCACUGUGCAAACACGAAAGUGGACGUAUACGGUGUGACGCCUGCCCGGUGCCGGAAGGUUAAUUGAUGGGGUCAGCGCAAGCGAAGCUCCUGAUCGAAGCCCCGGUAAACGGCGGCCGUAACUAUAACGGUCCUAAGGUAGCGAAAUUCCUUGUCGGGUAAGUUCCGACCUGCACGAAUGGCGUAAUGAUGGCCAGGCUGUCUCCACCCGAGACUCAGUGAAAUUGAACUCGCUGUGAAGAUGCAGUGUACCCGCGGCAAGACGGAAAGACCCCGUGAACCUUUACUAUAGCUUGACACUGAACAUUGAGCCUUGAUGUGUAGGAUAGGUGGGAGGCUUUGAAGCGUGGACGCCAGUCUGCGUGGAGCCGACCUUGAAAUACCACCCUUUAAUGUUUGAUGUUCUAACGUGGACCCGUGAUCCGGGUUGCGGACAGUGUCUGGUGGGUAGUUUGACUGGGGCGGUCUCCUCCUAAAGAGUAACGGAGGAGCACGAAGGUUGGCUAAUCCUGGUCGGACAUCAGGAGGUUAGUGCAAUGGCAUAAGCCAGCUUGACUGCGAGCGUGACGGCGCGAGCAGGUGCGAAAGCAGGUCAUAGUGAUCCGGUGGUUCUGAAUGGAAGGGCCAUCGCUCAACGGAUAAAAGGUACUCCGGGGAUAACAGGCUGAUACCGCCCAAGAGUUCAUAUCGACGGCGGUGUUUGGCACCUCGAUGUCGGCUCAUCACAUCCUGGGGCUGAAGUAGGUCCCAAGGGUAUGGCUGUUCGCCAUUUAAAGUGGUACGCGAGCUGGGUUUAGAACGUCGUGAGACAGUUCGGUCCCUAUCUGCCGUGGGCGCUGGAGAACUGAGGGGGGCUGCUCCUAGUACGAGAGGACCGGAGUGGACGCAUCACUGGUGUUCGGGUUGUCAUGCCAAUGGCACUGCCCGGUAGCUACAUGCGGAAGAGAUAAGUGCUGAAAGCAUCUAAGCACGAAACUUGCCCCGAGAUGAGUUCUCCCUGAGACUUUAGGUCUCCUGAAGGAACGUUGAAGACGACGACGUUGAUAGGCCGGGUGUGUAAGCGCAGCGAUGCGUUGAGCUAACCGGUACUAAUGAACCGUGAGGCUUAACCUUACAACGCCGAAG
RNAcentral lists this ribosomal RNA (1438 nucleotides) under Salmonella enterica subsp. enterica serovar Stanley. RNAcentral describes it as "partial 23S ribosomal RNA". It matches the Rfam family "Bacterial large subunit ribosomal RNA", at positions 1525 to 2925 of the family's 2925-position model. The record is from RNAcentral. Lineage: Bacteria; Pseudomonadati; Pseudomonadota; Gammaproteobacteria; Enterobacterales; Enterobacteriaceae.